Molecule: unclassified non-coding RNA, 929 nt
Filed under: Ooceraea biroi (clonal raider ant)
Lineage: Eukaryota; Metazoa; Arthropoda; Insecta; Hymenoptera; Formicidae
Description: uncharacterized LOC105274692, transcript variant X5
Source: RNAcentral
ACACGACGGUCUUGAUUCAAUUCUUUCGAGCUGCACUCUAAUGUUACACUCUCUGUACUUAAAUUAAAAUUAGGUUAAACCGGAAUAUUGCACAUGAAAAGAAAACUAGAAAUGUAAUCAUGUAAUGCAGGAAGAAUGGAGGAAAAAUUCAAGUAAAGCAAAUUAAAUAUACGAUAUAACCUAAAAAUGAGGGUCGAAGUAAUCGGUUGGAACUGAAUAAUUAUUUUAAGUUAAUUCGCCUGUACGCGUAUUAAUUCGAUUCGAUUCGAUCGUGGCUUACAAAUGUCUCGAUUCACGUUUGAAUUGAAGUACAGUGAAGUAUGCUUUGAAUACAGUGAUUAAUGGCCAGUAACAGCCAGUAAUGUCAAUAAUUACUUCUCCAGAAAAUAUAUUAUUGUUAUCUGACAGUUAUCUGACGAUACAGGAGCUGUCACAAUAUCCCGUUCUUCGGUUUUUGAUUAUUAUGCACAGAAAGACAUGCAAUUCCGAAGUUAGCGAAGAAAUAACGGUAUACGUACAUGACAUUGUUCUGAUCCCGCGUCGCACAGCACUCGAACGCCACAUGACAACGCUCGGGAAAAAACACGUUUAUUGUGGUCGCACGAUAUCCGCGAGUUGCUUCAAGAUAAAGUUAUUUUGCUUAGUACAGAUUUUACUUAUUUAAUUUACUUACAUUGUUUGGAGCUGUUCAUUAUUAAGAGACAGAGCUAUUUGUUAAACGUUGAGUAACUCAAAUCUAAAUUUUACACUGGAUAAUAUUUUGCGAGACAUUUUGUUUGAAACGUCUGGCAAAUUUUGAGGGAACAUCUUCCCUUUUUUGCAUAAUUGCUUUAUUCACAUUUAUAAUACUAAUUUAGUGAAAUAUUUCUUAUGUACGCUCCCUUUGUUAAUAGCAUACAGAAAGUUUAAUAAAAUUUUCCUGAACGUUA